RNAcentral lists this unclassified non-coding RNA (226 nucleotides) under uncultured Inocybaceae. RNAcentral describes it as "sequence contains ITS1". The record is from RNAcentral. Lineage: Eukaryota; Fungi; Basidiomycota; Agaricomycetes; Agaricales.
UCGAAAUGCCCACCACAGAGUUGUCGCUGGCCUCUUUGGCCGUGCACGCUUUGUCGUUCUUCAUUUCUCCAUCUACUAUGUGCACUCGCUUGCAUGGAUGAUCAUCGUCUGGGCCUCAGACUUCUUAGGACUGCUUUGCAAACGAAUUCUUUGUGGGCUUUCCUUGUUAUUCCAUGUCUCACAUAUACUCCAGUGUAACCAUGAAAUGAAAUGGAUUUGCAUAAUC